RNAcentral lists this ribosomal RNA (408 nucleotides) under uncultured bacterium. Its description in RNAcentral is "bacterial SSU rRNA". It matches the Rfam family "Bacterial small subunit ribosomal RNA", at positions 971 to 1390 of the family's 1533-position model. The record is from RNAcentral.
UUACCUGGGCUUGACAUGUAAGUAGUAGUGAAGGGAAACCGGAAUGAGCCUUCGGGCAGCGUAGACAGGUGCUGCAUGGCUGUCGUCAGCUCGUGUCGUGAGAUGUUGGGUUAAGUCCCGCAACGAGCGCAACCCGUGUUGCUAGUUACAAGUGUCUAGCGAGACUGCCGGUAACAAGCCGGAGGAAGGUGCGGAUGAUGUCAAGUCAGCAUGGCCUAUAUGUCCAGGGUUACACACCCGGUACAAUGGAUGUUACAAAGAGAAGUGAAAGGGCGACCUGAAGCGAAUCUCAUCAAAGCCAGUCAUAGUUCGGAUUGCAGGGUGCAACUCGCCUGCAUGAAGUCGGAGUUGCUAGUAACCGCAGGUCAGCAAUACUGCGGUGAAUACGUUCCCGGGCCUUGUACACAC